Molecule: long non-coding RNA, 1529 nt
Organism: Bos indicus x Bos taurus (hybrid cattle)
Lineage: Eukaryota; Metazoa; Chordata; Mammalia; Artiodactyla; Bovidae
Source: Ensembl
UGUUACUAAGGACCCUGUUAAUACCCAGUGCACGCUGGGCUUGUCCAGGCAAUGCUCACCUCCGUGACUCCUCUGUGUUUAACAGCAGGUCAGCUAACUUCAUAAUCCUGUCCUGGGUUUUUCUUCCCUGUUUCCAUCUCCAAGAAGAUUAGAGUCCUAUAAUAUCUUCCUUCUCUCUAUUGACUACAGGGCUGUGUCUAAAUGUGAUUAGAUUUACUCCACGCCGAUGCUUCUUGUUUCUGCAGUCACAAACAGCUAAAGGAAGAUCCCAGAGAUGCUCAACAAUUUUGCCUUUUCUAUUUUGCCUUUUUAUUUCUCUCUGAAGCCCAAGCUGCAGAAAUGGCUACAGAAAUACACCCACAGUUUCUGUUUUCUCUCUCAACUUGCAAUGGGACAGACGAUUAUUGACCUUUUUGGAUCAGAUAAUUAUGGAAGCGUAAGGGGAGCACCGAGGGCUAUAUACUCCCGCUUCUCCCUUUUCAUUGUGACUUCACCAAUCCAGAUUGCAGACCUUUGUUUUGGCAACUAAAGCUCCUCUGUUCAACUAAGAGCUACUGAAACCUGUGCCCACUGUAGACCCCUGCUCCGCAACAAGAGAGGCCACGGCAGUGAGAAGCCCUCGCAUUUCAACUAGAGUAGCUCCCGCUCACCACCACUCGUAGCCCCUGCUUGCUGCAGCCAGAGAAAGCCCAUGCAGCUAUGAAGACCCAGCACAGCCAAAAAGAAUAUACAUGUUUUAAAAAUGUCCCAUGCCAAUCUGAAAAAAAAAAACUAUACAGGUAAAUUACAGUUAGGGAGUUUUGGCCACAUCCCUGGCUCUCAUCUCCUUAAGGUCCACCACCAUUAACCUUGUAUUAUUGAAGUGUUUAAUAAGUUUUCCAAAGAUUUUCAUUGUAGGCACUCUUAAUACAACUGAUGCAAAUGUUGUAAGUGUGACCUUAAGAAUUUUCUCGAAGAAGACUGAUCACAGAAGGCAAUAUACCUGGUCUCCAUUUCUCAUGCCUUCAUUUUCCAUCAAGUUGAGCUUGAGCAGGUCAAGUUUCUUUCCUGACCUUUGUAUCCUCCUCUGGAAAAGAUAAUGUCAGAUGAAACUCUCCUGAAGACCCUCCAAACCCUAAUCACGUGACUACAGCAUCUGGUGGGUGACAUUCACUAUCAACAGCCAGUGGAACAAGUCUUUUAUCCUCCUAAGGAAAAGCAAACUAAAGAGAGUUUGUAAAACGACAGGCACAGCAUAAGCUCUGUGGGCUGUAAUCACAGGGGCAAAGGGUGUCAGGUAAGUAAUAGGAGACAUUUGUGAUGUAGAAGGGAAAAACAGCCAUCCAGCCACAGCGGUCACUCACCCACCCAGGCAAAGACCUCAGAACAAUCAUGUCCCUAGACAGCUCUGCUUCCAUCUCUUCUUCCAUCUCUGUUUUUAUUGCAAUUAAGACUUUGAAGUCUUCAUUAUAUUUUAUUUUAGUUGUUUUAUUUUGGGCUGUGAGAUUAUUGCAUCAGAGAUGAAUAAUUCUGUAUGCUCAGAGCAAAAC